AUCCGGAGCAGAACUAACAAGGAUUCCCCUAGUAACUGCGAGUGAAGCGGGAAAAGCUCAAAUUUAAAAUCUGAGGGUCUUGUUGGCCUUCCGAGUUGUAAUCUAGAGAAGUGCUAUCCGCGCUGGACCGUGUACAAGUCUCCUGGAACGGAGCGUCAUAGAGGGUGAGAAUCCCGUCUUUGACACGGACUACCAGGGCUUUGUGUGAUACGCUCUCAAAGAGUCGAGUUGUUUGGGAAUGCAGCUCUAAAUGGGUGGUAAAUUCCAUCUAAAGCUAAAUAUUGGCGAGAGACCGAUAGCGAACAAGUACCGUGAGGGAAAGAUGAAAAGAACUUUGGAAAGAGAGUUAAAAAGUACGUGAAAUUGUUGAAAGGGAAACGCUUGAAGUCAGUCGCAUUGGCCAGGGAUCAACCUUGCUUUUGCUUGGUUUAUUUUCUGGUUAAUGGGUCAGCAUCAAUUUUGAUCGGUGGAAAAAGAUCAAGGGAAUGUGGCAUCUUCGGAUGUGUUUUAUAGCCUUUGGUUGUAUACAUCGAUUGGGAUUGAGGAACUCAGCACGCCGCAAGGCCGGGUUUUUAACCACGUACGUGCUUAGGAUGCUGGCAUAAUGGCUUUAAUCGACCCGUCUUGAAACACGGACCAAGGAGUCUAACAUGCACGCGAGUGUUUGGGUGGAAAACCCGAGCGCGUAAUGAAAGUGAAAAUUGAGAUCCCUGUCGUGGGGAGCAUCGAUGCCCGGACCAGAUCUUUUGUGACGGUUCCGCGGUUGAGCGUGUAUGCUGGGACCCGAAAGAUGGUGAACUAUGCCUGAAUAGGGUGAAGCCAGAGGAAACUCUGGUGGAGGCUCGUAGCGAUUCUGACGUGCAAAUCGAUCGUCAAAUUUGGGUAUAGGGGCGAAAGACUAAUCGAACCAUCAGCGGGAUUCU
RNAcentral lists this ribosomal RNA (923 nucleotides) under Tricholoma terreum. RNAcentral's name for it is "eukaryotic LSU rRNA". It matches the Rfam family "Eukaryotic large subunit ribosomal RNA", at positions 48 to 959 of the family's 3401-position model. Lineage: Eukaryota; Fungi; Basidiomycota; Agaricomycetes; Agaricales; Tricholomataceae. The record is from RNAcentral.